CAAGGAAUUUUCGGCAAUGGGCGCAAGCCUGACCGAGCAACGCCGCGUGGUGGAUGACGGCUUUCGGGUUGUAAACACCUUUUGGGGGGGAUGACAUCGACCGUACCCCCCGAAUAAGCCCCGGCUAACUCUGUGCCAGCAGCCGCGGUGAGCCAGAGGGGGCAAGCGUUGUCCGGAGUUACUGGGCGUAAAGCGCACGCAGGCGGCACGGCAAGUGUGGUGUGAAACCCGCCGGCUUAACCGGUGGACGCCAUCGCAGACUGCCGCGCUCGAGCCGUUCAGAGGUCCCUCGAAUUGCCGGUGUAGUGGUGAAAUGCGUAGAGAUCGGCAGGAAGACCCACGGGGAAGCCAGGGGACUGGGAACGUGCUGACGCUCAGGUGCGAGAGCGUGGGGAGCGAA
Molecule: ribosomal RNA, 400 nt
Filed under: uncultured bacterium
Lineage: Bacteria
Description: bacterial SSU rRNA
Rfam family: Bacterial small subunit ribosomal RNA
Source: RNAcentral